Long non-coding RNA from Salmo salar (Atlantic salmon), 774 nucleotides. RefSeq lists it as uncharacterized. NCBI's taxonomy places the organism in Eukaryota, Metazoa, Chordata, Actinopteri, Salmoniformes, Salmonidae. The record is from RefSeq and is a predicted model, not a curated record.
UCACGAGAGGGACCCAAUGGCUGCCCUUACUCUGCCUGAAUGAAAAUAAGACAUGGUUUUACCACAGAUAGACGAGACAGAUAUUUCACCGGAGGUAUAAAUGUGACAGGAAGCCCAGUGGCUGGCAGUGGGAGAAGAUUGAGCUAGAUGGAUUUUGGCCGAUAUUCUGCACAUUUUCUCAUAAAUGAAACAGUUGAUCUCCAUACAGGUUUCUGUUUCCAAAACUAGAAUCUAUAACAAACAGUUAUAGAAAAGUUUGGUAGACUUGACUUACCUAAUUGUUUAUGGAGAUACAUUUUUUAUGACGAGUGCAUUUUCCUAAUGAACGUCAUGCAUAUUCAGUAAGGCACAAAUAGUCUAAAUCCACUACUUGGCGGUAGCUAGCUAGCUGUCCCAAGUAGAUAUCUAGCUGGCUAGCUAAUUCACAAAAAAAAAAAUAAUACUUGACUUAAAUAGCUAGAAAUCGAUUUCUUUGAAAGUUUUCCCACUACUAGUACUCCUUUUGUGAAUCAACUAUUUUUCAUGAUAAGAACACGUCAUCAAUAAAUACCUUGUUAACUGUAAAAUGGAAGGGGGAAAAUCCCUUUUCCACGUUUCCAACAGACGUUGAAAGGAGGACGAUGUGGCUGAGAAACAUCAGGCGUAGGGACAUCAGUCUGAAGAAGUUCUUUGAGGACCUGAAGAAAGGGGGUUACAGUAUGUGCGAGGAACACUUUGAAGAGUAUUUUAUUCUGAUUAUUGACUAUCUUUGUGAAUAAAAAUACUUUUCUGGAA